This 373-nucleotide ribosomal RNA is filed under the name uncultured bacterium. RNAcentral describes it as "bacterial SSU rRNA". It matches the Rfam family "Bacterial small subunit ribosomal RNA", at positions 525 to 896 of the family's 1533-position model. The record is from RNAcentral.
ACGUAGGGUGCGAGCGUUAAUCGGAAUUACUGGGCGUAAAGCGUGCGCAGGCGGUUUUGUAAGACAGGUGUGAAAUCCCCGGGCUUAACCUGGGAACUGCAUUUGUGACUGCAAGACUAGAGUGCGGCAGAGGGGGGUAGAAUUCCACGUGUAGCAGUGAAAUGCGUAGAUAUGUGGAGGAAUACCGAUGGCGAAGGCAGCCCCCUGGGUCGACACUGACGCUCAUGCACGAAAGCGUGGGGAGCAAACAGGAUUAGAUACCCUGGUAGUCCACGCCCUAAACGAUGUCAACUAGGUGUUGGGGAAGGAGACUUCUUUAGUACCGCAGCUAACGCGAUAAGUUGACCGCCUGGGGAGUACGGUCGCAAGAUUA